GAGAGAGAAAAAAGUGAUUUUAUUUUUCUAUUUCAGCACAUUUGGUAUAUCUCAAGGAUUAUAUAUACUCGUUUAUAGACUCCAUACAAAAAAAUAAUAUUGGUUGAUAUGGAAUAAUGCUAAUAAAGAAAAAUAAUACUCGCUGAUAUAAGUAGUUAUGUGAUCCCUAAAAUUACUUUAACAAAAUCAUGUCAACAAAAAAAAAAUAAUACUGGUCGAUAUAGAAUCACGCUAAUAAAAAAAAUAUUAUGGGCCAAUACAUGUUGUUACGUAAUUUCUAAAAUUAUGCUAAUAAAUAUUGAAUAAGGUACAAACAAGCACUGGACUAAGUUGUAAUUAUGCACUAAGUAUGGUUACUAAUGCUUGUUGGCACUAAUAUUAGGCAGGACCGAUUCCAGUAAUAUAUAAUUAUAUUUUUUGUUAAAACAUAUAAAAUUAUACUAUGAAGGCCUAUUAUUUUUUUCUUUAUUUUUUUCCCGAGUGAAUGUUGCAAGCCUAUUCUUUAAAGCAUAAAUUGCUCGAGUUGGGUAUUUUGGGCUGGCCUGCGGUUUCUAACGGACGUGGCGAGCCGAGUCUUCCAAGCUAAUGUUCUAGCCAUCCAAGACCAAGUGAUUACAUCUGGACCCCACAUUAGAUGUGAUCCGUUUAUCUCGUGACCUACAGAUAAAACGGGUGUGUC
Molecule: long non-coding RNA, 679 nt
Filed under: Phoenix dactylifera (date palm)
Lineage: Eukaryota; Viridiplantae; Streptophyta; Magnoliopsida; Arecales; Arecaceae
Description: long non-coding RNA (PDAC_LNC000395)
Source: RNAcentral